CAAGGAAAGGAACAAGAAAGCGGUGAGAUUCCUGAUUGAGAAUGGCGCAUUCCUGCCUCCUGAGAUGAAUGACCACAGGUUCAAUCCUCCCCUCCACUACUGCUCUGGAUUAGAAUGGGCGUAUGAGAUGAAGCGCAUGCAAGACGAGAGCGACUCACCUGGCGAGACUUCCUUGAGCUCAGACAGCUAGAGGGAAAGCAAGCAGGUGCACUGCGAAGAGGAUGCAGUUUGAGAAGGCGGACAAGUUACUUUCAGAAAACAAAGACGGACAAGUUACAUCAGGUUGUGUGGUUAUUCUAGAAUUGUAU
This 308-nucleotide long non-coding RNA is filed under the name Setaria italica (foxtail millet). RNAcentral's name for it is "long non-coding RNA (SITA_LNC000009)". The record is from RNAcentral. Lineage: Eukaryota; Viridiplantae; Streptophyta; Magnoliopsida; Poales; Poaceae.